RNAcentral lists this ribosomal RNA (477 nucleotides) under Veillonella dispar. RNAcentral's name for it is "bacterial SSU rRNA". It matches the Rfam family "Bacterial small subunit ribosomal RNA", at positions 28 to 474 of the family's 1533-position model. Lineage: Bacteria; Bacillati; Bacillota; Negativicutes; Veillonellales; Veillonellaceae. The record is from RNAcentral.
GACGAACGCUGGCGGCGUGCUUAACACAUGCAAGUCGAACGAAGAGCGAUGGAAGCUUGCUUCUAUCAAUCUUAGUGGCGAACGGGCGAGUAACGCGUAAUCAACCUGCCCUUCAGAGGGGGACAACAGUUGGAAACGACUGCUAAUACCGCAUACGAUCUAACCUUGGCAUCGAGGAUGGAUGAAAGGUGGCCUCUAUUUAUAAGCUAUCACUGAAGGAGGGGAUUGCGUCUGAUUAGCUAGUUGGAGGGGUAACGGCCCACCAAGGCGAUGAUCAGUAGCCGGUCUGAGAGGAUGAACGGCCACAUUGGGACUGAGACACGGCCCAGACUCCUACGGGAGGCAGCAGUGGGGAAUCUUCCGCAAUGGACGAAAGUCUGACGGAGCAACGCCGCGUGAGUGAUGACGGCCUUCGGGUUGUAAAGCUCUGUUAAUCGGGACGAAAGGCCUUCUUGCGAAUAGUGAGAAGGAUUGAAG